Molecule: ribosomal RNA, 1143 nt
Filed under: Triticum aestivum (bread wheat)
Lineage: Eukaryota; Viridiplantae; Streptophyta; Magnoliopsida; Poales; Poaceae
Description: partial small subunit ribosomal RNA
Source: RNAcentral
AUGCCCUCAAUGUUUACUCUACUCUAUAUUUUACUCAUCCUUUUCUCCGUCAGGACUACAAUACUCGAAGCAGCACAAGCAAACAAGUCGGAGAUUGAUCGCCAGGCCCUCCUCUGCUUCAAGUCCGGCAUCAGCUCUUAUCCCCUUGGCAUCCUUGACUCAUGGAGUGACGACUCACUUAACUUUUGCGGCUGGAAAGGGGUCACUUGCCGCACAAAGUUUCCACCCCGGGUGGCCUCUCUUAACUUCAACUAUGCUCGUCUCAGUGGGAAGUUAUCUGGAUGCCUGGGCAACUUGACAUUUCUAUCCAGGAUGAACCUUGCCUAUAAUAAUCUUUCGGGAACUAUCCCUGAAGAGUUGGGUAUGCUUCCAAACCUCCAUACACUGAAUCUUGCCGGCAGCUAUCUUCAAGGUAACAUCCCCAUUUCCUUAGGCGCUAGCAAUUCUCUUAGCUAUGUAUAUCUUGCAAACAACACCCUUACCGGUGGUAUUCCUCUCUCAUUGACCGAUUGCUCCUCACUCAGCACACUUAUACUGUCACGUAAUAACCUCUCAGGAGAGAUCCCUUCUACUUUGUUUGAUAAUUCAUCUAAGCUUGCUGUGGUUGAUCUCCAGAAGAAUUCUUUCACUGGUCUCAUCCCACGUUUCCAUAAGGUCACAGCACUCAAAUUUCUUUGCCUGACAGAGAACUUCCUCUCUGGAAACAUACCUCCUUCAAUAGGAAAUGUUUCUUCCCUCACUUCUAUAUUGCUCGGCCAAAAUAAGCUAUCAGGAUUAAUUCCAGAAACUAUAGGUCACACUACAAAACUGCUUGAGCUUGACCUAAGUUUCAACAGUUUAUCAGGUAAUGUCCCGGUUUCCCUUUAUAACAUGUCAUCACUCAAAAACUUUAGUGUUGGCAGCAAUGGCCUUGUUGGACAGUUACCAUCUUACAUUGGUCACUCACUACCAACCCUCCAGUCCCUAAUUAUGGGAAGCAACAGGCUGGAGGGCUUGAUCCCUACUUCACUAACCAACAUGUCAAAUCUUCAAAUGCUUGAUCUUUCAGACAACUCACUAAAUGGCCGUGUUCCAUCUCUUGGUUCUUUGGCAAACUUGAGCCAGUUAGUUUUGGGGAGCAACUUGCUAGAAGCACAUGACUGA